GUGGAGUACGCAGCCUCAUGGUCUGUAACGGAGCCACUUAUAUUUUUUAAAGAAAGUUAGAAGAAACCUUCACUUAUAUGAUUAGCGGUCGUAUAUCAUUCUAAUCAUCUUAUCUUGUUGCUGUGAUCCAAUCAUCGAGAUGAACAUAUGAUGAAUGAAGUCUAUAAAAUAAGAGAUGGGAUAAUUCAUGUGAUGCAUAGUCAUGCAGUGUAUGCU
This 216-nucleotide long non-coding RNA is filed under the name Elaeis guineensis (African oil palm). RNAcentral's name for it is "long non-coding RNA (EGUI_LNC027734)". The record is from RNAcentral. Lineage: Eukaryota; Viridiplantae; Streptophyta; Magnoliopsida; Arecales; Arecaceae.